GACAGAGGGUGCAACCGUUGCUCGGAAUUACUGGGCGUAAAGCGCACGUAGGCGGCUUCUAAGUCGGGGGUGAAAUCCUGGAGCUCAACUCCAGAACUGCCUUCGAUACUGGAAAGCUCGAGUCCGGGAGAGGUGAGUGGAACUGCGAGUGUAGAGGUGAAAUUCGUAGAUAUUCGCAAGAACACCAGUGGCGAAGGCGGCUCACUGGCCCGGUACUGACGCUGAGGUGCGAAAGCGUGGGGAGCAAACAGG
Molecule: ribosomal RNA, 252 nt
Filed under: uncultured bacterium
Lineage: Bacteria
Description: partial 16S ribosomal RNA
Rfam family: Bacterial small subunit ribosomal RNA
Source: RNAcentral